GACGAACGCUGGCGGCGUGCUUAACACAUGCAAGUCGAGCGGAAAGGCCCUUCGGGGUACUCGAGCGGCGAACGGGUGAGUAACACGUGAGUAACCUGCCCCAGACUUUGGGAUAACCCUCGGAAACGGGGGCUAAUACCGGAUACGACACAGCUUCGCAUGGGGUCUGUGUGGAAAGUUUUUCGGUUUGGGAUGGGCUCGCGGCCUAUCAGCUUGUUGGUGGGGUGAUGGCCUACCAAGGCGACGACGGGUAGCCGGCCUGUGAGGGCGACCGGCCACACUGGGACUGAGACACGGCCCAGACUCCUACGGGAGGCAGCAGUGGGGAAUAUUGCACAAUGGGCGGAAGCCUGAUGCAGCGACGCCGCGUGAGGGAUGACGGCCUUCGGGUUGUAAACCUCUUUCAGCAGGGACGAAGCGUAAGUGACGGUACCUGCAGAAGAAGCGCCGGCCAACUACGUG
This 462-nucleotide ribosomal RNA is filed under the name uncultured bacterium. RNAcentral describes it as "partial 16S ribosomal RNA". It matches the Rfam family "Bacterial small subunit ribosomal RNA", at positions 28 to 507 of the family's 1533-position model. The record is from RNAcentral.